UGAUGGUUCAAAUUAUUUGGUACAUGCAUAAGCUAUAUUUUCGGUUGAAUACAGAUGAAACGCGAAGAAUAAUCUAUUGGUUUCACUACCAAUAUCAGUUUCUAAAUAAAAUCUCUUAAAUUCCAUCCAUGAACAAUAUAACUUAUCAAGCCAAUCCAUUUCCAAUGUCAUCAAUGCUUUCUCUUUAUCCCAGUCCCGAUUCAUCUCAUCAUCAAUGUCAUCUAUUCGAUUUUCCAGCGGUGUAUUUACGGAUUCUCCUCCAAAUUUCUGAAUAAGGUUUUUUGAUUGGCUUCCGGAGGACAUGACUUGGUUAAGGAAACUACUCAUGCAAAGGAGUCAUGUAAUAUUGUUGUUCGAGUUAUUCUCUUAUGGGUGUUACUUUCUUAAAGGAUCAAUUUCCAAUUUCUAAUUCCUAUUUUCUAGCUGAAUCAGAAAGGUCACAAGAUUAAAAGCAAAUUAUGUCAAUGCAAUCAAGUGGAAAUGGAAAAUUCACACAGUUUCUUCCAAACUCAGCUUUGAAAUUAUCAUCGUUAAAAGGCUUUUAAGGAACUAAAAAAUUCAGCACUCCAUUAGAAACCUUUAAAGUUCUGGAACAAUAUAGGUAAAGCUUCUUGAUUUUUUUCUUCCUUUUUUCGUGUUUGCUGUAUCAUCCAUCAUCCAUCAUGUUUAUAAUAUAGUUUUAAUUAUUUGUCA
Molecule: long non-coding RNA, 693 nt
Organism: Vicia villosa (hairy vetch)
Lineage: Eukaryota; Viridiplantae; Streptophyta; Magnoliopsida; Fabales; Fabaceae
Exons: 3
Source: RefSeq, a predicted model, not a curated record